UACGUAGGGGGCAAGCGUUGUCCGGAAUCAUUGGGCGUAAAGAGCGUGUAGGCGGCUUGGUAAGUCCGCUGUGAAAGUCCAGGGCUCAACCCUGGAAAGCCGGUGGAAACUGCCAAGCUUGAGUCCGGAAGAGGCGAGUGGAAUUCCUGGUGUAGCGGUGAAAUGCGCAGAUAUCAGGAGGAACACCAAUGGCGAAGGCAGCUCGCUGGGACGGUACUGACGCUGAGACGCGAAAGCGUGGGGAGCAAACAGG
Molecule: ribosomal RNA, 253 nt
Filed under: uncultured bacterium
Lineage: Bacteria
Description: partial 16S ribosomal RNA
Rfam family: Bacterial small subunit ribosomal RNA
Source: RNAcentral